This 497-nucleotide ribosomal RNA is filed under the name uncultured bacterium. Its description in RNAcentral is "partial 16S ribosomal RNA". It matches the Rfam family "Bacterial small subunit ribosomal RNA", at positions 28 to 507 of the family's 1533-position model. The record is from RNAcentral.
GAUGAACGCUGGCGGCGUGCCUAAUACAUGCAAGUCGAGCGAACAGAUGAGGAGCUUGCUCCUCUGACGUUAGCGGCGGACGGGUGAGUAACACGUGGAUAACCUACCUAUAAGACUGGGAUAACUUCGGGAAACCGGAGCGAAUACCGGAUAAUAUAUUGAACCGCAUGGUUCAAUAGUGAAAGACGGUUUUGCCGUCACUUAUAGAUGGAUCCGCGCCGCAUUAGCUAGUUGGUAAGGUAACGGCUUACCAAGGCAACGAUGCGUAGCCGACCUGAGAGGGUGAUCAGCCACACUGGAACUGAGACACGGUCCAGACUCCUACGGGAGGCAGCAGUAGGGAAUCUUCCGCAAUGGGCGAAAGCCUGACGGAGCAACGCCGCGUGAGUGAUGAAGGUCUUCGGAUUGUAAAACUCUGUUAUUAGGGAAGAACAAAUGUGUAAGUAUCUAGGCACGUCUUGACGGUACCUAAUGAGAAAGCCACGGCUAACUACGUG